GGUUAAGCGACUAAGCGUACACGGUGGAUGCCCUGGCAGUCAGAGGCGAUGAAGGACGUGCUAAUCUGCGAUAAGCGUCGGUAAGGUGAUAUGAACCGUUAUAACCGGCGAUUUCCGAAUGGGGAAACCCAGUGUGAUUCGUCACACUAUCAUUAACUGAAUCCAUAGGUUAAUGAGGCGAACCGGGGGAACUGAAACAUCUAAGUACCCCGAGGAAAAGAAAUCAACCGAGAUUCCCCCAGUAGCGGCGAGCGAACGGGGAGCAGCCCAGAGCCUGAAUCAGUGUGUGUGUUAGUGGAAGCGUCUGGAAAGGCGUGCGAUACAGGGUGACAGCCCCGUACACAAAAAUGCACAUACUGUGAGCUCGAUGAGUAGGGCGGGACACGUGGUAUCCUGUCUGAAUAUGGGGGGACCAUCCUCCAAGGCUAAAUACUCCUGACUGACCGAUAGUGAACCAGUACCGUGAGGGAAAGGCGAAAAGAACCCCGGCGAGGGGAGUGAAAAAGAACCUGAAACCGUGUACGUACAAGCAGUGGGAGCACGCUUAGGCGUGUGACUGCGUACCUUUUGUAUAAUGGGUCAGCGACUUAUAUUCUGUAGCAAGGUUAACCGAAUAGGGGAGCCGAAGGGAAACCGAGUCUU
RNAcentral lists this ribosomal RNA (642 nucleotides) under Escherichia coli. Its description in RNAcentral is "partial 23S ribosomal RNA". It matches the Rfam family "Bacterial large subunit ribosomal RNA", at positions 1 to 685 of the family's 2925-position model. RNAcentral also lists the same sequence under 1 other name. Lineage: Bacteria; Pseudomonadati; Pseudomonadota; Gammaproteobacteria; Enterobacterales; Enterobacteriaceae. The record is from RNAcentral.